UUCUGGUUCCCCAUGUUGGUGUAUCCACUUUCUUGAAGGCUUUUUUCACCGAAGUUUUGUUGCUGCUCCUGAUCAUAAGCAUUGUUGCUGUAGUAGUUGGUGUUUGUGUUGGUGGUUGUGUCAGUUGGAUAAUUGGUGUAGGUUUCUUGGUUUUGGGUUUGGGUCUUGUAUGGCUGGGAAUUAGUGGUAGUAGUGUAGGGUGCAUUAGCUAGUUUAGUGGUGGUGGGGAACUGGGUGGUUUCUUGACCAUAUAGACCAUAACCAUUUUGGUUGUCUGGGAUGAAGGCUGGAUCUUGUUCUUGCUUGCUCAACCCUUCUUCUUCUUCUUUGCCGGGGAGU
RNAcentral lists this long non-coding RNA (339 nucleotides) under Populus trichocarpa (black cottonwood). RNAcentral's name for it is "long non-coding RNA (PTRI_LNC002700)". The record is from RNAcentral. Lineage: Eukaryota; Viridiplantae; Streptophyta; Magnoliopsida; Malpighiales; Salicaceae.